This 500-nucleotide ribosomal RNA is filed under the name uncultured Eubacterium sp. RNAcentral describes it as "bacterial SSU rRNA". It matches the Rfam family "Bacterial small subunit ribosomal RNA", at positions 979 to 1472 of the family's 1533-position model. The record is from RNAcentral. Lineage: Bacteria; Bacillati; Bacillota; Clostridia; Eubacteriales; Eubacteriaceae.
GCUUGACAUACCAUUGACCGGAUUAGAGAUAGUCCUUCCCUUCGGGGCAGUGGAUAACAGGUGGUGCAUGGUUGUCGUCAGCUCGUGUCGUGNAGAUGUUGGGUUAAGUCCCGCAACGAGCGCAACCCUUAUUCUUAGUAACCAGCGGGUAAUGCCGGGGACUCUAGGGAGACUGGCCGUGGAUAACACGGAGGAAGGUGGGGAUGACGUCAAAUCAUCAUGCCCUUUAUGGCCUUGGGCAACACACGUGCUACAAUGGCUGCAACAAAGUGMGGCAAGACGGCGACGUUAAGCAAAACACAAAAAAGCAGUCUCAGUUCGGAUUGUAGUCUGCAACUCGACUAUAUGAAGCUGGAAUCGCUAGUAAUCGCAGAUCAGAAUGCUGGCGGUGAAUACGUUCCCGGGCCUUGUACACACCGCCCGUCACANCCAUGGGAGUUGGAAGUACCCCAAGUCUGUGACCUAACCGUAAGGAAGGAGCAGCCGAAGGUAAUAUCAGC